UACGAAGGGGGCUAGCGUUGCUCGGAAUUACUGGGCGUAAAGGGCGCGUAGGCGGACAGUUUAGUCAGAGGUGAAGGCCCAGGGCUCAACCUUGGAAUUGCCUUUGAUACUGGCUGUCUUGAGUUCGGGAGAGGUGAGUGGAAUGCCGAGUGUAGAGGUGAAACUCGUAGAUAUUCGGCGGAACACCAGUGGCGAAGGCGACUCACUGGCCCGAUACUGACGCCGAGGCGCGAAAGCGUGGGGAGCAAACAGG
This 253-nucleotide ribosomal RNA is filed under the name uncultured bacterium. RNAcentral describes it as "partial 16S ribosomal RNA". It matches the Rfam family "Bacterial small subunit ribosomal RNA", at positions 524 to 776 of the family's 1533-position model. The record is from RNAcentral.